This 495-nucleotide ribosomal RNA is filed under the name uncultured bacterium. RNAcentral's name for it is "bacterial SSU rRNA". It matches the Rfam family "Bacterial small subunit ribosomal RNA", at positions 43 to 576 of the family's 1533-position model. The record is from RNAcentral.
CAGGCUUAACACAUGCAAGUCGAACGCAUCCUUCGGGAUGAGUGGCAGACGGGUGAGUAACGCGUGGGAAUCUACCCAGCCCUACGGAAUAACCCGGGGAAACCCGGACUAAUACCGUAUACGCCCGCUUGAAAGAGCGGGGAAAGAUUUAUCGGGGUUGGAUGAGCCCGCGUCGGAUUAGCUUGUUGGUGCGGUAAAGGCGCACCAAGGCGACGAUCCGUAGCUGGUCUGAGAGGAUGAUCAGCCACACUGGGACUGAGACACGGCCCAGACUCCUACGGGAGGCAGCAGUGGGGAAUAUUGGACAAUGGGCGCAAGCCUGAUCCAGCCAUGCCGCGUGAGUGAUGACGGCCCUAGGGUUGUAAAGCUCUUUCGCCGGCGAAGAUAAUGACGGUAGCCGGAGAAGAAGCCCCGGCUAACUUCGUGCCAGCAGCCGCGGUAAUACGAAGGGGGCUAGCGUUGUUCGGAAUUACUGGGCGUAAAGCGCACGUAGGC